AUGUCCCGCCUCCGGCGCCGCUCCUCCUCCACCUCCACCUCGCCGCGCUCACGCCCUUGGUCUCCCCAGGCCGCCUUUGCCGCUGCCACACAGUGCGUCAGCGCUGGGACGCUCACCCCAGAACACGCACACCACCUGUUCGACGAAUUGCUAUGGCGGUACACUCCGGUCCUCGAGCGCUCCCAGGACGGCUUUCUUGCUGCUCUCGCCCGUGCUAGGUCCUCCGCGGUCUGCAGAGAUGGCCCCGUGCUCGCGCUCGACCUCUUCAGCCGCUUGUGCCGCGAAGAAGCCGGCCCUCGGGUGGCGCCGCCCACAAUCUUUACGUACGGCGUUCUAAUGAACUGUUGAUGCCGCACUCGUCGCCCGCAACUAGAGCUUGUCUUCUUCGGCCGUCUCCUCAGGAGGGGCCUGAAGACAAACACGAUCGUCUUCAGCUCCCUCCUCAAGUGCCUCUGCCACGCCAAACAGACAGACGAGGCUGUCAGCGUGCUGCUUCAUAGCAUGUCCGAGCUCGGUUGUGUGCCUGAUGCCUUCUCUUACACCAUUGUUCUUAAGAUCUUAUGUGAUGCUAGCAGCAGCCAGUGGGCGCUCGACCUGCUCCAGACUAUGGAGAAAGGAGGAGGUGUCUGCUCCCCUGACGUGGUGUCAUAUACCACGGUCAUCCACAACCUCCUUAAGGAAGGGGAAGUAAGCAAGGCAUGCAAUCUAUACCAUGAAAUGGUGCAGCAAGGGGUUGUGCCUGAUGUGAGGACAUAUAGCUCGAUUAUUAAUGCGCUAUGCAAGGCCGAAGCAAUGGACAAGGCAGAGUUGUUCCUUCGUCAGAUGGUUGAUAAGGGUGUUCGGCCGAAUAACAAGACAUAUACUAGCAUAAUCCAUGGAUAUUCCACGUUGGGCCGGUGGAAAGAAGCUGGCAAAAUGUUCAGAGAAAUGACAAGCCAGGGUAUCAUACCAGAUGUUGUUACUUGGAACUCAUUCAUGGCCUCCUUCUGCAAGCAUGGAAGAAGCAGAGAAGCUGCCAAAAUUUUUGAUUACAUGUCUUCCAGGGGACACAAGCCUAAUGUCGUCUCAUAUUCUAUUUUGUUUCAUGGAUAUGGUAUAGAAGGAUGCUUUGCUGAUAUGAUUAAUCUCCUUAAUUCAAUGGCAAACAACGGUAUUGUUCCCAAUCGCUAGGUUUUCAACAUUUUAGUUGAUGCGUAUGCAAAAUGUGGAAUGAUGGAUGAAGCUAUGCUCAUAUUUUCUGGAAUGUGCGGACAAGGAGUGACUCCAGAGUCUAGAAUGGCUAGGCUGGCUGAUGCUUUGAAUAAGUUCAGUCAGAUGAUUUCAACUGAUAUACAACCGAACACAGUUGUUUAUCACUCCCUAAUUCAGGGUUUCUGUGCAUAUGGCGAUUCGGUGAAAGCAAAGGAGUUGGUUUAUGAAAUGAUAAACAAUGGUUUUCCUCGUCCUAACAUUGUGUUCUUCAGUUCAAUAAUAAAUAGUCUAUGCAAAGAAGGAAAGGUUAUAGAUGCACAAGAUAUCUUCAACUUGGUUGUAGAAAUAGGUGAGAGUCCUGAUGUCACUAUAUUUACUUCACUAAUUGAAGGAUUUUGCCUAGUCGGCAAAAUGGAGAAAGCAUCCCAAGUGUUUGAUUCCAUGGUAUCAGUUGGCAUUGAGCCUAAUAUUGUUACAUAUGGUACACUUGUUGAUGGCUAUUGUAGAAGUGGAAGGAUAGAUGAUGGGUUGAUUCUAUUCAGAGAUUUGCUUCACAAGGGAGUUAAACCUACAACAAUUACAUAUUACAUCAUACUGGAUGGGUUAUUUCUUGCUGGGAGAACAGUUGCUGCCAAGAAAAUGUUCCAUGAGAUGAUCGGAAGUGGAACACCCGUGAGCCUGCACACAUAUGAUAUAAUUCUUGGAGGUCUUUGUAGGAAUAAUUGUGCUGACGAAGCGAUUACCCUGUUCCAGAAAUUAGUAGCGAUGAAUGUGAAGUUGGAUAUUACAAUACACAAUACCAUGAUCAAUGCAAUGUUCAAAGUUCAGAGAAGAGAAAAAGCUAACAUUUUUGCUGCAGUAUCAGCCAGUGGAUUGGUACCUAAUGCUUCUACCUACGGUGUAAUGAUAAAAAAUCUUAUAAAAGAAGGAUCAGUGGAAAAGGCUGAAAAUAUGUUCUCAUUAAUGGAGAAGAGCGGUUGUGCUCCAGACUCUCGUCUUAUAAAUGAUAUCAUCAUAAUAUUAUUAGAGAAAGGUGAGAUUGUCAAGGCUGGAAAUUAUAUGUCCAAAGUUGAUGGCAAGAGCAUCUCACUUGAAGCAUCAACUACUUCAUUGCUGAUACAUCUCUUUUCAAGUAAAGGGGAAUAUUGGGAACAAAUAAAUUUGCUCCCUGUAAAGUACCAAUUUUUUGAUGGAUUUAGUUGA
Molecule: ribosomal RNA, 2394 nt
Filed under: Triticum aestivum (bread wheat)
Lineage: Eukaryota; Viridiplantae; Streptophyta; Magnoliopsida; Poales; Poaceae
Description: partial small subunit ribosomal RNA
Source: RNAcentral